RNAcentral lists this long non-coding RNA (955 nucleotides) under Fukomys damarensis (Damara mole-rat). RNAcentral describes it as "lncRNA (ENSFDAG00000030831.1)". Lineage: Eukaryota; Metazoa; Chordata; Mammalia; Rodentia; Bathyergidae. The record is from RNAcentral.
GGAAACUUUAACAGUGCUGACAACUUUGGAAAAAGUCAUCCCAAUUUACUGUGUUGAGGUGGCAUUGUACAGAAAUGGACAGCCAUAUUGGUCUAGAAAUGUUAAUUUAUUUUUAUUUUUUUCCAUGUGUACAGGGGUACCACAUCAUGCUAAAUAUGUAAGGUCAUAUCUAUGUGGGUUUGAUUACAGAAACUCGCCCUCCCUGUGGGCACAGACAGACCCAGGUCGGCCCCUCGGUGUCUCGUUAUGAAAUUUGUGUCUUUAAGGUGUUUGGUGGCAGGCUGGCCCCGGGGCAGGGACGGAGGAGGUGAGGGUCCCGGGGGAUCUCAUGAGGCCACUGGUUGUCCUAUUGCAGAACACCCGCCUGGUCUGUGGGGGCCAAGCCCAAACUGAUGUCACCCACACCAGAUGACACACCCUGGCAGCCACGGCCUGGCCAUGGCCCAGCCACAAGGCCCCAACCAUUUCCUUCCAUUGGGGACCAUCGGCCUGCACCUGAGGCUCCCGGAACCUGCCCAAGUCGCUGCUCCAGGGGCCAGGCAUCCUGACAAACCCAGGGAUGGGGCAGGCUCAGGAGAGCAGGGCAGCACCAGCCCGAUCCAGAGGUCCUCCUGGAGCCGCAGAGCGCACUGCAGGUGCCUGGGCACAGGUGUCGUUGACAAACCACCUGGUGGCUUGUGACCUUUCUCAGUCCCUCUGCAAGAGAGACUCAGCUUCCAGCCAUGAAGUUCUGAGCCUGUUGAGCUGCGGCCGUCACCCUGGGCCCCACUGGACAGAGCUGCGUCCUCACCGGCAGCCCACAGUCCCGCAGUCUGGACCUGGAACACUGGUCUGGCUGCCUGCACUGCCCCGGGCCCCUGACCUGGAGGUGUGUGAGUCUGGCCUCCAGGUCACCGCCCUCAGGCCAAGGCUACGGCAUUGGGCAGAGGGAGCGGGGCCUUCCUUGAGUUGCUGA